UACGAAGGGUGCAAGCGUUACUCGGAAUUACUGGGCGUAAAGCGUGCGUAGGUGGUUUUUUAAGUCCGUUGUGAAAACUCGAGGCUCAACCUCGAGACGCGGGUGGAAACCGUAAGGUUAGAGUCCGGAAGAGGAGAGUGGAAUUCCUGGUGUAGCGGUGAAAUGCGCAGAUAUCAGGAGGAACACCCGUGGCGAAAGCGGCUCUCUGGGACGGUACUGACGCUGAGACGCGAAAGCGUGGGGAGCAAACAGG
Molecule: ribosomal RNA, 253 nt
Filed under: uncultured bacterium
Lineage: Bacteria
Description: partial 16S ribosomal RNA
Rfam family: Bacterial small subunit ribosomal RNA
Source: RNAcentral